GAUGAACGCUAGCGGCAGGCCUAGCACAUGCCAGUCGAGGGAGAAGCCCUUUCGGGGGCAGAAACCGGCGCACGGGUGCGUAACGCGUAUGCAACCUACCUUUCACAGGGGGAUAGCCCGAAGAAAUUUGGAUUAAUACCCCAUAAUAUUAUUGGAUGGCAUCAUUUGAUAAUUAAAACUGCGGUGGUGAAAGAUGGGCAUGCGUCCUAUUAGCUAGUUGGAGUGGUAACGGCACCCCAAGGCUACGAUAGGUAGGGGUCCUGAGAGGGAGAUCCCCCACACUGGUACUGAGACAGGGACCAGACUCCUACGGGAGGCAGCAGUGAGGAAUAUUGGUCAAUGGUCGGAAGACUGAACCAGCCAUGCCGCGUGCAGGAAGAAUGCCUUAUGGGUUGUAAACUGCUUUUAUAUGGGAAGAAUAAGGCGUACGUGUACGUUGAUGACGGUACCAUAUGAAUAAGCAUCGGCUAACUCCGUG
RNAcentral lists this ribosomal RNA (478 nucleotides) under uncultured bacterium. RNAcentral's name for it is "partial 16S ribosomal RNA". It matches the Rfam family "Bacterial small subunit ribosomal RNA", at positions 28 to 507 of the family's 1533-position model. The record is from RNAcentral.